RNAcentral lists this ribosomal RNA (470 nucleotides) under uncultured Entrophospora. Its description in RNAcentral is "SSU rRNA". It matches the Rfam family "Eukaryotic small subunit ribosomal RNA", at positions 569 to 1038 of the family's 1831-position model. Lineage: Eukaryota; Fungi; Glomeromycota; Glomeromycetes; Entrophosporales; Entrophosporaceae. The record is from RNAcentral.
AGCAGCCGCGGUAAUUCCAGCUCCAAUAGCGUAUAUUAAAGUUGUUGCAGUUAAAAAGCUCGUAGUUGAAUUUCGGGAUUGACACAUCGGUCGUGCCUUAAGGGGUAUGAACUGGUGUAGUCAAUUUCUCACCUUUUGGAGAACCGCGAUGCCCUUAAUUGGGUGUCGCGGGGAACCAGGACCUUUACUUUGAAAAAUUAGAGUGUUUAAAGCAGGCAUUUUGCUUGAAUACAUUAGCAUGGAAUAAUAAAAUAGGACGGCAUGAUUCUAUUUUGUUGGUUUCUAGGAUCACCGUAAUGAUUAAUAGGGAUAGUUGGGGGCAUUAGUAUUCAAUUGUCAGAGGUGAAAUUCUUGGAUUUAUUGAAGACUAACUACUGCGAAAGCAUUUGCCAAGGAUGUUUUCAUUAAUCAAGAACGAAAGUUAGGGGAUCGAAGACGAUCAGAUACCGUCGUAGUCUUAACCAUAAACU